RNAcentral lists this transfer RNA (86 nucleotides) under Chlorella variabilis. RNAcentral describes it as "tRNA-Leu". The record is from RNAcentral. Lineage: Eukaryota; Viridiplantae; Chlorophyta; Trebouxiophyceae; Chlorellales; Chlorellaceae.
UACUCACUAUCGGAUUUGAACCGAUACCCCAAAAAACUGGGAACAGAUUUUGAAUCUAUCGUGUCUACCAAUUUCACCAAGUGAGU